GUCUUUUUGAGUUAUUUUUAAAGUCUGACCUGCCCACUGAAGUUUUUAAAUGGCCGCAGUAUUCUAACUGUGCAAAGGUAGCAUAAUCAUUAGUCUUUUAAUUGGAGGCUGGUAUGAACGGUUGGACGAGGUAUAUGCUGUUUCAUAUGAAUUUAUAGUAGAAUUUUAUUUUUUAGUUAAAAAGCUAAAAUAAUAUUAAAAGACGAGAAGACCCUAUAAAUCUUUAUAUUUAAUAUAAUUUAAAUUUUUUGGAUUGAUUUUAUUUUUAUUUUAUUAAGUAUUUCGUUGGGGUGAUGUUAAAAUUUAAUGAACUUUUAAUUUUUUAAAAUCAUUUAUUUAUGAGUUAUUGAUCCAUUAUUAUUGAUUAUAAGAUUAAGUUACUUUAGGGAUAACAGCGUGAUUUUUUUGGAGAGUUCAUAUCGAUAAAAAAGUUUGCGACCUCGAUGUUGGAUUAAGAUAUAUUUUUAGGUGUAGCUGCUUAAAUGUUAAGUCUGUUCGACUUUUAAAUUCUU
RNAcentral lists this ribosomal RNA (512 nucleotides) under Dacus bakingiliensis. Its description in RNAcentral is "partial 16S ribosomal RNA". The stretch from base 388 to 512 matches the Rfam family "Bacterial large subunit ribosomal RNA", at positions 2473 to 2597 of the family's 2925-position model. The record is from RNAcentral. Lineage: Eukaryota; Metazoa; Arthropoda; Insecta; Diptera; Tephritidae.